AGCUGAUGCAUCUUUGGUGGCUUCUCCUCCCAGUGCCACCGCAGCAGCUGUUCCCCUCUGGAGGUUUUAAUUACCUUCACAACUACAAGGGCCCAAGUUUUUCUUGUGGCCCUCUUUUUUUGCCUGG
This 127-nucleotide small RNA is filed under the name Sinorhizobium meliloti 2011. Its description in RNAcentral is "suhB". It matches the Rfam family "Alphaproteobacterial ar15". Lineage: Bacteria; Pseudomonadati; Pseudomonadota; Alphaproteobacteria; Hyphomicrobiales; Rhizobiaceae. The record is from RNAcentral.